RNAcentral lists this ribosomal RNA (166 nucleotides) under uncultured bacterium. RNAcentral describes it as "partial 16S ribosomal RNA". It matches the Rfam family "Bacterial small subunit ribosomal RNA", at positions 349 to 507 of the family's 1533-position model. The record is from RNAcentral.
CAGCAGUAGGGAAUCUUCCGCAAUGGGCGCAAGCCUGACGGAGCAACGCCGCGUGAGCGAAGAAGGCCUUCGGGUUGUAAAGCUCAGUCAUUCGGGAAGAGCGGACAGGAGAGGGAAUGCUCCUGUCGAGACGGUACCGGAAGAGGAAGCCCCGGCUAACUACGUG